GUUGAAUUAAAGGGACCCAAGGUUUGGCCAUACCCAGUGGUUGAGACGUCCUGUGCUGUCAUGUGAUCCCGCUUUUGUUUCUUUACGUAAGGGUCUGCUGUUGAAGAGACAGACACGUUACGCAGUGCCUAUACCUCCUCAGCUUUUGCCUAAGUCAUGUCCUUAUUGUUGAAUACUGAUUGUCGCCUCCCUCUCUUGCUCUUGCCUCUUUGCACCAAUUCAACAACUAAUCAUGAUCGCAACUGCAUCUCAUUGAGGUAAAUACUCAUUGCUUUGUUUUUGGCCGCUCUUUGUACAAAGUAUAGGCUGAGAAUUACACUAAAGAUUUAUGUCAAACGCUCUUCAAUUUAGGAUUUGUUAAUGAUCUCCA
Molecule: long non-coding RNA, 370 nt
Organism: Eucalyptus grandis
Lineage: Eukaryota; Viridiplantae; Streptophyta; Magnoliopsida; Myrtales; Myrtaceae
Exons: 2
Source: RefSeq, a predicted model, not a curated record